AUAAUGGGUCAGCGACUUAUAUUCUGUAGCAAGGUUAACCGAAUAGGGGAGCCGAAGGGAAACCGAGUCUUAACUGGGCGUUAAGUUGCAGGGUAUAGACCCGAAACCCGGUGAUCUAGCCAUGGGCAGGUUGAAGGUUGGGUAACACUAACUGGAGGACCGAACCGACUAAUGUUGAAAAAUUAGCGGAUGACUUGUGGCUGGGGGUGAAAGGCCAAUCAAACCGGGAGAUAGCUGGUUCUCCCCGAAAGCUAUUUAGGUAGCGCCUCGUGAAUUCAUCUCCGGGGGUAGAGCACUGUUUCGGCAAGGGGGUCAUCCCGACUUACCAACCCGAUGCAAACUGCGAAUACCGGAGAAUGUUAUCACGGGAGACACACGGCGGGUGCUAACGUCCGUCGUGAAGAGGGAAACAACCCAGACCGCCAGCUAAGGUCCCAAAGUCAUGGUUAAGUGGGAAACGAUGUGGGAAGGCCCAGACAGCCAGGAUGUUGGCUUAGAAGCAGCCAUCAUUUAAAGAAAGCGUAAUAGCUCACUGGUCGAGUCGGCCUGCGCGGAAGAUGUAACGGGGCUAAACCAUGCACCGAAGCUGCGGCAGCGACGCUUAUGCGUUGUUGGGUAGGGGAGCGUUCUGUAAGCCUGCGAAGGUGUGCUGUGAGGCAUGCUGGAGGUAUCAGAAGUGCGAAUGCUGACAUAAGUAACGAUAAAGCGGGUGAAAAGCCCGCUCGCCGGAAGACCAAGGGUUCCUGUCCAACGUUAAUCGGGGCAGGGUGAGUCGACCCCUAAGGCGAGGCCGAAAGGCGUAGUCGAUGGGAAACAGGUUAAUAUUCCUGUACUUGGU
Molecule: ribosomal RNA, 838 nt
Filed under: Escherichia coli
Lineage: Bacteria; Pseudomonadati; Pseudomonadota; Gammaproteobacteria; Enterobacterales; Enterobacteriaceae
Description: partial 23S ribosomal RNA
Rfam family: Bacterial large subunit ribosomal RNA
Source: RNAcentral